UAGUGAACAAGACAUGGUAUUUAAUCUAAUUUAAUUUAAUUUCAAUUCCUUUUCUCCCAUGUAGACGAGUGCUGGUGGCAGACUGAGGGAGAAGGAAUAACCCCAGCACUGUGGAACACAGGGGUCUGCCAGUGCUGGCGAAGCCUUUUUUGAGAAGCACACAGAAAAUCUGCCAUCCCAACCCCAAAUCUCCUUCCCACUGGCCACCAGCCUGAGCAGGAGCUGUGUCCAGGUGCUCCAUCCCAGCUCUGACUCCUGAUGGAUAUUUCCCUAUUCCUGGCAACAGGGAGAGCCUCACAUGGUGCAGAGAUAGAAAAAUAACUGCAGCUCUCCUUCCAGCCCAAUAAUUCUCUCCCAUGUGUGAGCACACACAACUGGCAGGAAUCACAGGGCAGACAUCUCCACACCGCAGAAACUCCAAAAAAUAAAAAAUCAGAUUUGUUUUGAAGCUGGG
RNAcentral lists this long non-coding RNA (454 nucleotides) under Zonotrichia albicollis (white-throated sparrow). RNAcentral describes it as "lncRNA (ENSZALG00000004214.1)". Lineage: Eukaryota; Metazoa; Chordata; Aves; Passeriformes; Passerellidae. The record is from RNAcentral.